GAGUCACAGGACGAAGUGGAUGGAUCAAGGCCUUGCAAGCUCAAAAGGCUUGUGGGCCAGGAUUCAGGAAAGUCCCCGGGCCUUAAUCCGUAGAAAUUACGGGCUCGGAAACGAGUUCUACUUCAAGCGUGGUAAUCAGUUCAUCUCUUUGAGAUGAGGGGCUGAGACGUGUGUGGAGCCUUUGGUGCUGCCUGAAGUAUAUUUGCCGAAAUUCACAGUUAUCCACUUGGUCCUUAAUGGACUAACUGAACGGGGAUUAUGAUCCUGUGACU
Non-coding RNA from Thalictrum thalictroides, 272 nucleotides. Lineage: Eukaryota; Viridiplantae; Streptophyta; Magnoliopsida; Ranunculales; Ranunculaceae. The record is from the annotation of a GenBank genome assembly.